This 484-nucleotide ribosomal RNA is filed under the name uncultured bacterium. Its description in RNAcentral is "partial 16S ribosomal RNA". It matches the Rfam family "Bacterial small subunit ribosomal RNA", at positions 30 to 507 of the family's 1533-position model. The record is from RNAcentral.
AUUGAACGCUGGCGGCGGGCCUAACACAUGCAAGUCGAGCGGAAACAGGAAGCUUGUUCCUGUCUUGCGCGAGGGACGGGUGGGUGAGGGCUAGGUAUCUGACUGAUCUUGAGGGAUGGGGUCAAGUAAGGGAACCGGAUCCAACAUCCGUAAAGAGGUUGAACAGCAGGGAUCUAGAGACACGGGCCUAUUGGCUGCGCCUGGGUCGGAUUAGCUAGUUGGUGUAGUAACGGCUUACCAAGGCGACGAUCCGUAGCUGGUCUGAGAGGAUGAUCAGCCACACUGGAACUGAGACACGGUCCAGACUCCUACGGGAGGCAGCAGUGGGGAAUAUUGCACAAUGGGCGAAAGCCUGAUGCAGCCAUGCCGCGUGUGUGAAGAAGGUCUUCGGAUUGUAAAGCACUUUAAGUUGGGAGGAAGGGAAGUAAGUUAAUACCUUCCCGUCUUGACGUUACCUACAGAAUAAGCACCGGCUAACUACGUG